Molecule: ribosomal RNA, 497 nt
Filed under: uncultured bacterium
Lineage: Bacteria
Description: partial 16S ribosomal RNA
Rfam family: Bacterial small subunit ribosomal RNA
Source: RNAcentral
GACGAACGCUGGCGGCGUGCCUAAUACAUGCAAGUUGAGCGAUGAAGCUUGGUGCUUGCACCAAUUUGAAGAGCAGCGAACGGGUGAGUAACGCGUGGGGAAUCUGCCUUUGAGCGGGGGACAACAUUUGGAAACGAAUGCUAAUACCGCAUAACAACUUUAAACAUAAGUUUUAAGUUUGAAAGAUGCAAUUGCAUCACUCAAAGAUGAUCCCGCGUUGUAUUAGCUAGUUGGUGAGGUAAAGGCUCACCAAGGCGAUGAUACAUAGCCGACCUGAGAGGGUGAUCGGCCACAUUGGGACUGAGACACGGCCCAAACUCCUACGGGAGGCAGCAGUAGGGAAUCUUAGGCAAUGGACGAAAGUCUGACCGAGCAACGCCGCGUGAGUGAAGAAGGUUGUCGGAUCGUAAAACUCUGUUGGUAGAGAAGAACGUUGGUGAGAGUGGAAAGCUCAUCAAGUGACGGUAACUACCCAGAAAGGGACGGCUAACUACGUG